ACUCCUGCGGGAGGCAGCAGUGGGGAAUAUUGCACAAUGGGCGCAAGCCUGAUGCAGCCAUGCCGCGUGUAUGAAGAAGGCCUUCGGGUUGUAAAGUACUUUCAGCGGGGAGGAAGGCAAUACGGUUAAUAACCGUGUUGAUUGACGUUACCCGCAGAAGAAGCACCGGCUAACUCCGUGCCAGCAGCCGCGAUAAUACGGAGGGUGCAAGCGUUAAUCGGAAUUACUGGGCGUAAAGCGCACGCAGGCGGUCUGGCAAGUCGGAUGUGAAAUCCCCGGGCUCAACCUGGGAACUGCAUUCGAAACUGGCAGGCUUGAGUCUUGUAGAGGGGGGUAGAAUUCCAGGUGUAGCGGUGAAAUGCGUAGAGAUCUGGAGGAAUACCGGUGGCGAAGGCGGCCCCCUGGACAAAGACUGACGCUCAGGUGCGAAAGCGUGGGGAGCAAACAGGAUUAGAUACCCCUGUAGUCCCA
RNAcentral lists this ribosomal RNA (471 nucleotides) under uncultured organism. Its description in RNAcentral is "partial 16S ribosomal RNA". It matches the Rfam family "Bacterial small subunit ribosomal RNA", at positions 335 to 797 of the family's 1533-position model. The record is from RNAcentral.